Molecule: long non-coding RNA, 1091 nt
Organism: Limulus polyphemus (Atlantic horseshoe crab)
Lineage: Eukaryota; Metazoa; Arthropoda; Merostomata; Xiphosura; Limulidae
Exons: 3
Source: RefSeq, a predicted model, not a curated record
UGAAGUGGAAAAUAUUAAAUAUAUCAUAUAGUUGUAAAUAUGGUAUUUGGUAUAAAAAGUAUCUUGGAGUGUCAACAAGAGUAAUUUGUAUAUUGUAUUUCCACAUACAUUGUCAGUAUCUAGUGUUCAAGUGUGUUAUUACAUAAAUACUACAUAUCACAGAGUCUCCACAAAAAUACUUUGUAUCUCAAGCAUAGACACACCUUGGUACUUAAAACAUUCAGAGCUCAGGCCUAUAGGUGCAGGAGUAAUGUUUGGAAUUUUAGUAUGAUAUGAAUCAUGGUUUUCUAUUCUGAUUUUUAAAGACAUCAACUGGGGAUUCAGGGCAUUGUCAAAUAGAAUUGGGGCAUGGGCCCUGUGUGCCAAUGCCUAGGAAUGCUGGUGAGACCGUUGUCCAUUAAAAUUCUUUAUAUUCCAAGUGAGGCUGGUGUCCAUUAAAAUUCUUUAUAUUCCAAGUGAGGCUGGUGUCCAUUAAAAUACUUCAUAUUCCAGUUAAGGCUGAUGUCCAUUAAAAUACUUUAUAUCCCAGUUAAGGCUGGUAUCCAUUAAAAUACUUUAUAUCCUAGGUGAGGCUGGUGUCCAUUAAAAUACUUUAUAUCCCAGGUGAGGCUGGUGUCCAUUAAAAUACUUUAUAUCCCAGUUAAGGCUGGUAUCCAUUAAAAUACUUUAUAUCCCAGGUGAGGCUGGUGUCCAUUAAAAUACUUUAUAUCCCAGUUAAGGCUGGUGUCCAUUAAAAUACUUUAUAUCCCAAGUGAGGUUGGUAUCCAUUAAAACAGCUUUAUAUCUCAGGUGAGGCUGGUGUCAAUUAAAAUUCUUUAUAUCCCAGUUAAGGCUGGUGUCCAUGAAAAUACUUUAUAUCCCAGGUGAGGCUGGUGUCCAUUAAAAUACUUUAUAUCCCAGGUGAGGCUGGUGUCCAUGAAAAUACUUUAUAUCCCAGUUAUGGCUGGUGUCCAUGAAAAUACUUUAUAUCCCAGUUAAGGCUGGUGUCCAUUAAAAUACUUUAUAUCCCAGGUGAGGCUGGUGUCCAUUAAAAUACUUUAUAUCCCAGGUGAGGCUGGUGUCCAUUAAAAUACUUUAUAUCCCAGUUAAGG